GUUCCCUUUACGUUUACAAUGACAAAACAUUUAUUUAAUUUUUCUUCACUUAGCUAUUUGUGCUUUGUUAUUUAUAAAGACUAUAUAUUAUAAUGAAAUCACACUUCUAGUCAUUUCAACUGCGAUUUAGUAUGGUCUUGAGGAAACGAUGAUAGUCCGUCGGAAGGGGACGAUAAAUGGCUGACCCGUGUUAAGAGAGAGC
Molecule: long non-coding RNA, 202 nt
Filed under: Mytilus galloprovincialis (Mediterranean mussel)
Lineage: Eukaryota; Metazoa; Mollusca; Bivalvia; Mytilida; Mytilidae
Source: RNAcentral